This 219-nucleotide ribosomal RNA is filed under the name uncultured bacterium. RNAcentral describes it as "partial 16S ribosomal RNA". It matches the Rfam family "Bacterial small subunit ribosomal RNA", at positions 524 to 740 of the family's 1533-position model. The record is from RNAcentral.
UACAGAGGUGCGAGCGUUAAUCGGAAUUACUGGGCGUAAAGCGUGCGCAGGCGGUUAUGCAAGACAGAUGUGAAAAUCCCCGGGCUUAACCUGGGAACUGCAUUUGUGACUGCAUAGCGUAGAGUACGGGUAGAGGGGGAUGGAAAUUCCGCGUGUAGCAGUGAAAUGCGUAGAUAUGCGGAGGAACACCGAUGGCGAAGGCAGUCCCUGGACCUGUAC